GCGGUUAUAUUUUAAACAAAUAAGUGUAUUUAAAAUUUUUGAAUAAUGUUUGCACUGGACUUUAAUUUUUUUUUUAGUUUGCAAUGCGAUUUCGAAUAUUGAGGGAGUAGCGUUGCACCGAUGCAGAGGUGAAUUUCUAACCAUUCGUCCUUUGGCCUCUCCCACAACUAAAUAAUUAUACUUGCAGGGUCUGCAUAUUUUUCAAGCUAAGAUUUCACAUGGAACUAUAAAAGUACAAUAGUAUUCAUAUCGGAAGACUAUAAUGGGCACCCAUUGACUG
Molecule: long non-coding RNA, 280 nt
Filed under: Drosophila guanche
Lineage: Eukaryota; Metazoa; Arthropoda; Insecta; Diptera; Drosophilidae
Source: RNAcentral